UGUAAAGUUCUGCACUUAGGCAGAAGAAACCAGCUGCACCAAUAUAGGAUGGGGGGCACCUGGCUCACUAGCAGGACAUGUGGAAAGGAUCUGGGGUCUUGGUGGACCACAAGCUGAAGAUGAGUCCACAGGGUGAGGCAGCAGCAAAAAAAGCCCAAAUACUAGAAGUCUAGUGUCCAGAUCAAGGGAAGUAAGAGUCCCACUCUAUUCUGCCUUGGUCAGACCACACCUGGAACACUGUGUCCAGUUCUGGGCAUCACAAUUUAAG
Molecule: non-coding RNA, 268 nt
Organism: Podarcis lilfordi (Lilford's wall lizard)
Lineage: Eukaryota; Metazoa; Chordata; Lepidosauria; Squamata; Lacertidae
Source: the annotation of a GenBank genome assembly